GACGAACGCUGGCGGCGUGCUUAACACAUGCAAGUCGAACGAAAAUACCAAGCUUGCUUGGUUGAUUCGUGGCGAACGGGUGAGUAACACGUGAGUAACCUGCCCCUUACUUUCCUGGAUAACUGCUCGAAAGGGUAGCUAAUACGGGAUAUUAUGUCCAGCCUGCCUGGGUUGGUUUGGAAAGGUUGUUUUUCUGGUAAGGGAUGGGCUCGCGGCCUAUCAGCUUGUUGGUGGGGUGAUGGCCUACCAAGGCGUGGACGGGUAGCCGGCCGGAGGGGGUGGACGGUCAGACUGGGACUGGGGUACGGCCCAGACUCCUACGGGAGGCAGCAGUGGGGAAUGUUGCAGAAGGGGCGCUAGCCUGAUGCAGCGACGCCGCGUGAGGGAUGAAGGCCUUCGGGAUGUAAACCUCUUUCGUCAGGGAACAAGGCACUGCUUUUUUGGUGGUGUUGAGGGUACCUGGAUAAGAAGCGCCGGCUAACUACGUG
RNAcentral lists this ribosomal RNA (488 nucleotides) under uncultured bacterium. RNAcentral describes it as "partial 16S ribosomal RNA". It matches the Rfam family "Bacterial small subunit ribosomal RNA", at positions 28 to 507 of the family's 1533-position model. The record is from RNAcentral.